AUGCCCUGACGGUGUGGCGCUUCU
RNAcentral lists this unclassified non-coding RNA (24 nucleotides) under Mus musculus (house mouse). Its description in RNAcentral is "oocyte_clustered_small_RNA11561". Lineage: Eukaryota; Metazoa; Chordata; Mammalia; Rodentia; Muridae. The record is from RNAcentral.